This 421-nucleotide ribosomal RNA is filed under the name uncultured bacterium. Its description in RNAcentral is "bacterial SSU rRNA". It matches the Rfam family "Bacterial small subunit ribosomal RNA", at positions 358 to 773 of the family's 1533-position model. The record is from RNAcentral.
GGAAUUUUGGGCAAUGGGCGAAAGCCUGACCCAGCAACGCCGCGUGAAGGAUGAAAUCCCUCGGGAUGUAAACUUCGCAAGAACAGGAAGAAUAAGUCCGUGCAAACACCACGGGCGAUGACGGUACUGUUUGUACGCUCCGGCUAACUCCGUGCCAGCAGCCGCGGUAAUACGGGGGGAGCAAGCGUUGUUCGGAUUUACUGGGCGUAAAGGGCGCGUAGGCGGCCACCGCAAGUCGGUUGUGAAAUCUCCGGGCUUAACCCGGAAAGGUCAACCGAUACUGCGGGGCUAGAGUGCAGAAGGGGCAACUGGAAUUCUCGGUGUAGCGGUGAAAUGCGUAGAUAUCGAGAGGAACACCUGCGGCGAAGGCGGGUUGCUGGGCUGACACUGACGCUGAGGCGCGAAAGCUAGGGGAGCGAAC